GCGCACACACCCUUGCCAGACACUUGUGGAACACUUUGAUAAAACAGCUCGUCCAUUAUGAACCAUUGAGGAAGGCUCAGCCAACUUCAGCGACUAAAUAUGAGCCGUAGUAUCCAUCCACAUUGACAGGAGGAGAUAGUUCCACACCAACAAUCAACAUUUAAUUCUUCCUCUCACAUCUUUAUGCCUUUUAAUUCCCUGGAACUUUACCCAUGAUCCCUUACUGCUGUGGAAUACACUUCCCCCACAGUGAACAUUUUUAUCUUAGUCACAAGGUGACAUUUCCCACUUGAGGAUAUGUCUGACCUCUGGGAAGUGGCAGUAGGGGUUUGAGGAUGUCACCUCUGGCCAGUUAACAAUAAGCAGUCACGAAGCCCA
Long non-coding RNA from Mus musculus (house mouse), 378 nucleotides. RefSeq annotates it as RIKEN cDNA 1700128E19 gene. Lineage: Eukaryota; Metazoa; Chordata; Mammalia; Rodentia; Muridae. The transcript is spliced from 2 exons. The record is from RefSeq and is a predicted model, not a curated record.